AUUUUUGGACAAUGGGGGAAACCCUGAUCCAGCAAUGCCGCGUGCAGGAUGAAGGCCCUCGGGUUGUAAUCUGCUUUUGUACGGAACGAAAAGUCUUGGGCUAAUACCCUGGGAUCAUGACGGUACCGCAAGAAGAAGCACCGGCUAACUACGUUCCAGCAGCCGCGGUAAUAAGUAGGGUGCAAGCGUUAAUCGGAAUGACUGGGCGUAAAGCAUGCGCAGGCGGGUUUGUAAGAAAGUGGUGAAAUCCCCGGGAUCAACCUGGGAACUGCCACUGUGACUGCAAGGCUGGAGUGCGGCAGAGGGGGAUAGAAUUCCGCGUGUAGCAGUGAAAUGCGUAGAUAUGCGGAGGAACACCGAUGGCGAAGGCAAUCCCCUGCGCCUGCACUGACGCUCAUGCACGAAAGCGUGGGGAGCAAACAGG
This 424-nucleotide ribosomal RNA is filed under the name uncultured bacterium. Its description in RNAcentral is "partial 16S ribosomal RNA". It matches the Rfam family "Bacterial small subunit ribosomal RNA", at positions 360 to 776 of the family's 1533-position model. The record is from RNAcentral.